GUAGUUAUAUGCUUGUCUUGAAGAUUAAGCCAUGCAAGUGCUAGUACAAACCGAUAUACUGGUGCAACUGCAGAAGGCUCAUUAAAACAGUUAUAGUUUAUUUGAUGGUGAAAGACUACAUGGAUAACUGUGGUAAUUCUAGAGCUAAUACAUGCAUAAAAUCUCGUGGGCAACCAUGGGAUGUAUUUAUUAGAAAUCUAAACCAAAAUCGGGGGCAACCUCGAUACAAAAUGGUGAAUCAUAAUAACUUAUCGGACCGCUAAGGAGCAAUCCGGUAGGUCAUUCAAAUUUCUGCCCUAUCAGCUGUCGAUUGUAGUGUAGUGGACUACAAUGGCUUUAACGGGUGACGGAGAAUUAGGGUUCGAUUCCGGAGAGGGAGCCUGAGAAAUGGCUACCACAUCUAAGGAAGGCAGCAGGCGCGCAAAUUACCCAAUUCUCAUCGAGAGAGGUAGUGAAGAUAAAUAACGAUACCGGUCCUUAACAAGGUCUGGUAAUUGGAAUGAGAACAAUUUAAAUCCUUUAUCGAGGAUCCAUUGGAGGGCAAGUCUGGUGCCAGCAGCCGCGGUAACACCAGCUCCAAUAGCGUAUAUUAAAGUUGUUGCAGUUAAAAAGCUCGUAGUUGGAUAUCUGAUAUGGAGGCCUGGCCCCGUCUCUUUCGGGAGAUGAGUGUGCCGGAAUUAGCCAUCAUAUCAUCCUUCUGGAUUUUUUUUGAUGUCCUUAACUGGAUGUUGAAAGGGAUCUGGAUCAAUUACUUUGAAAAAAUUAGAGUGUUCAAAGCAGGCGUGUUUGCUUGAAUACAUUAGCAUGGAAUAAUAAAAUAGGACUUGGGUCUUAAUUUGUUGGUUUGUAGGACCGAAGUAAUGAUUGAUAGGGUCAAUUGGGGGUGCUUGUAUUGAGUGGCCAGAGGUGAAAUUCUUGGAUUCACUCAAGACAAACUUAUGCGAAAGCAUUCACCAAGGGUGUCUUCUUUAAUCAAGAACGAAAGUUGGGGGAUCGAAGACGAUCAGAUACCGUCGUAGUCUCAACCAUAAACGAUGCCGACUAAGGAUCAGUGGACGUUGAUAUAAAGACUCCAUUGGCACUUUACGAGAAAUCAAAGUUUUUGGGUUCCGGGGGUAGUAUGGCUCGCAAGGCUGAAACUUAAAGGAAUUGACGGAAGGGCACCACAACGGCGUGGAGCCUGCGGCUUAAUUUGACACAACACGGGAAAACUUACCAGGUCCGGACAUAGGCAGGAUUGUCAGAUUGCAGUUCUUUCUUGAUUCUAUGGAUGGUGGUGCAUGGCCGUUCUUAGUUGGUGGAGUGAUUUGUCUGGUUAAUUCCGAUAACGAACGAGACCUCAGCCUGCUAAAUAGUCACGUUAAUCUUAGGAUUAAACG
This 1379-nucleotide ribosomal RNA is filed under the name metagenome. RNAcentral's name for it is "SSU rRNA". It matches the Rfam family "Eukaryotic small subunit ribosomal RNA", at positions 20 to 1382 of the family's 1831-position model. The record is from RNAcentral.